AGCAGCCAUCAUUUAAAGAAAGCGUAAUAGCUCACUGGUCGAGUCGGCCUGCGCGGAAGAUGUAACGGGGCUAAACCAUGCACCGAAGCUGCGGCAGCGACACUCAGGUGUUGUUGGGUAGGGGAGCGUUCUGUAAGCCUGUGAAGGUGUGUCGUGAGGCAUGCUGGAGGUAUCAGAAGUGCGAAUGCUGACAUAAGUAACGAUAAAGCGGGUGAAAAGCCCGCUCGCCGGAAGACCAAGGGUUCCUGUCCAACGUUAAUCGGGGCAGGGUGAGUCGACCCCUAAGGCGAGGCCGAAAGGCGUAGUCGAUGGGAAACGGGUUAAUAUUCCCGUACUUGGUGUUACUGCGAAGGGGGGACGGAGAAGGCUAUGUUGGCCGGGCGACGGUUGUCCCGGUUUAAGCGUGUAGGCUGGUUUUCCAGGCAAAUCCGGAAAAUCAAGGCUGAGGCGUGACGACGAGGCACUACGGUGCUGAAGCAACAAAUGCCCUGCUUCCAGGAAAAGCCUCUAAGCAUCAGGUAACAUCAAAUCGUACCCCAAACCGACACAGGUGGUCAGGUAGAGAAUACCAAGGCGCUUGAGAGAACUCGGGUGAAGGAACUAGGCAAAAUGGUGCCGUAACUUCGGGAGAAGGCACGCUGACAC
Molecule: ribosomal RNA, 645 nt
Filed under: Salmonella enterica subsp. enterica serovar Bareilly
Lineage: Bacteria; Pseudomonadati; Pseudomonadota; Gammaproteobacteria; Enterobacterales; Enterobacteriaceae
Description: partial 23S ribosomal RNA
Rfam family: Bacterial large subunit ribosomal RNA
Source: RNAcentral